UCUCCUCUCUUUAAUUCUCUUUUUUUAUUUAUGGAUAGAGGAAACCCACCGUGAAAGGUGCUGCCAUAACCACAAAUGGUGGUCGAAACUCACACAAGGCUCUCAAAACAAGCAUUCGGUCCCCCAUAGUUAGAAAUCAAACCAUGUUUUCUCUAAAACUAAACAUAAAACCCUAGAUAUAGGAAAAUCAUAUAAGGUUUUACCUGUUCUCCGGUGACCCUUAGCUUCCCGACGAGAUUCUGAACCUAAAAAUUUCUCAUUUUUUAUGGCCGCAUGUGUGAUUUCUCUCUACUAUUGUGCUGCCGAAAAAGACAAGGGUGGACAACGACGACGUUGUGGCAGAAGUGAGGAUUAGGGUGAAACCCUAUUAUCACAUCUUAUUUGGGUUGUUGGAUCAAGCAUAGAUACAACAAUUAAGAUCAUCUGGUGGCUGGGAGUAUGACAAAACCCUAGGGCCUCGUUUGGUUCACGGAUUUUUUCAUUCAUGGGAGGAAUAUUUUUUUCGGGUUAAGAUACCCACGUUUGGAUGUGUCACAUUACCAAGUGAGGGUAAAAAUUAAAUACCAACAAUGGUUUUUUUGUUCUGUUUUACUGGGAAUCCAAAUACCACAUCUCCCUUAGGUAUUUGUUUAUUCCCGUCCUCUGUUUGCUAAAAUACCCUUCUCCCCGUUAGCUUGGUUCUGGCUGAAACAAAAUUUCUUCUUCUUCGAUUUGACGAGAGUUGUUGCGAAGAGCUGUCCAUUACUGCUCCAACGGACUUCUUCUUCUGUGGUGCUCUAGCUCUAGCUCUAUAUGUUAAUCUGUUGCUAGAUUGUUUCGAAGAGCAAUAUGUCAACAUCAAAUAUGGAAUCUCAAAGGAGGGAAUAACGGACAACUGGAAAGGUUAAGUCUAUAGUUACUAAAAGGACGUGGACUAAACAUAAGGAUGCUGCACUUGUUGAAUGCUUACACAUUUUGGCAGAAGACCCACAUUGGAAAGUUGAUAAUGGAACAUUUAUAUCAGAAAUAUUGAAUAUUGGAAGUGGAUUCGGUUGGAAUGAAGAAGAAAAAUGUUUAACUGCACCAAAGGAUGCGUUUGAUGAUUAGGUUAGAAGUCAUCCAACUGCUGCUGGAUUGAGAAACAAGUAAUUCCAUUCUUUGACGACUUUGUUCAAAUAUUUGGAAAAGAAAGAGCAAUAAGAACAACAGCUGAUGGAGUGGAACAUCUUGAUGUUGAAGACAAUACAUUUAUAGAUGCAUUUGUUGAAGAAGGGGGAGUAAGAGAUUCUGAAUAAAGAGAGGAUGUUGGUCUUCAACUUGCCAAAUAUCUGAUGCUACUGCCUCUACCCCUGUAAUGAAAAAAGUAGCUAGCAAGAAAAGGUCUCGAAGUGAUGAUGGGUUAACAAAGCUUCUACAAGAGAUAAGUAAGUUUGGUGCUGCAUACCGAGAAACUGCCAAAGAAAUUAAGGAUAUUACUGCUUUAUUGAAAAAGGAGGCAGAAGGAAAUGAUCGAAGAAUGUCAAUUUUCAUAGAAAUCAUGAAAAUUGAAGGCCUCUCCAAUGAUGAAAUGCUUACUGUAGGAGAGUAUAUUAGCAAAGAUGUGCACAAGGUAGAUUUCUUCUUUUCUUUGCCAAACGAAUUCAAAAAAGAUUAUGUGAUUAAGCAAUUAGUUGAAUGCCAUCACUUCAGACCAUCCUUUUAA
Long non-coding RNA from Hibiscus syriacus, 1681 nucleotides. RefSeq lists it as uncharacterized. The transcript is spliced from 5 exons. The record is from RefSeq and is a predicted model, not a curated record. NCBI's taxonomy places the organism in Eukaryota, Viridiplantae, Streptophyta, Magnoliopsida, Malvales, Malvaceae.